GAGAUCUGAAGUCACGCCCCAGAAGGAGAGAGGACAGUGCCAGCUCCCUUGGUGCCACUUUUGACACAGUCCUGCCUCUGUCAGCAUCCGCCUUGAGUCAUCCUUACCUAAAAUGAGGAAGGCAGUCCCAGGAGGGUCUGAAAAGUUUGGAGUAUCCUCAGCUCUAUGUGGGUCACGGCUCUUCCUCUGGAUGUACUGGGAGACACCCCUACCUGUAAACAAAGGAUGUGGAAAGAACAGGAAGACCAUCAAGU
Molecule: long non-coding RNA, 254 nt
Filed under: Mus musculus (house mouse)
Lineage: Eukaryota; Metazoa; Chordata; Mammalia; Rodentia; Muridae
Description: long non-coding RNA chr7:131937873-131938127
Source: RNAcentral